RNAcentral lists this unclassified non-coding RNA (147 nucleotides) under plant metagenome. Its description in RNAcentral is "partial contains 5.8S ribosomal RNA, internal transcribed spacer 2, and large subunit ribosomal RNA". The record is from RNAcentral.
GCCGCCGGCGAACUCGCUGAGUGCCUUGCAGUAUGCCGCCGAAGGCGGACAUCCCAUUGCGCAGUGGCGGCUUGGCCGCAUGUACGCUGCAGGCGACGGCGUCGAUCGCGACGACCUGCGCGCGUUCGAAUACUUCAGCCGGAUCGC